RNAcentral lists this ribosomal RNA (253 nucleotides) under uncultured bacterium. Its description in RNAcentral is "partial 16S ribosomal RNA". It matches the Rfam family "Bacterial small subunit ribosomal RNA", at positions 524 to 776 of the family's 1533-position model. The record is from RNAcentral.
UACGGAGGGUGCAAGCGUUAAUCGGAAUUACUGGGCGUAAAGCGCGCGUAGGUGGCUAAGUCAGCCAGGUGUGAAAGCCCCGGGCUCAACCUGGGAACGGCAUCUGGAACUGCUUGGCUAGAGUGCAGGAGAGGAAGGUAGAAUUCCCGGUGUAGCGGUGAAAUGCGUAGAGAUCGGGAGGAAUACCAGUGGCGAAGGCGGCCUUCUGGACUGACACUGACACUGAGGUGCGAAAGCGUGGGUAGCAAACAGG